CCAUUACAUCGUUGAUAAAGGAUACUUUAUGGUCAUAUUCGGCCACGUUGGAGAAAUGAUGCUUCAUGUCGAAGUCAAUUGCAUCGAGGGCUCGAGAUGCAUCUUGGCAACAUCAUCAAGCUUUUUUUAUCGUUUUUCUACCACAAGCCACUCCAACUACAAGCUCGACUUACCUUUGUUCUACAAUUGAAAUACGAUUUGCUUUAGUAACAACGUCAUAUUAAUUUUUGAUGAUUUGACAUUUUUGCCCUGAUACUUGAUCUUUUAUGUUUGAUUGGGGCCUUCCAUAUCGUGCACCACUCAAAUUAACGAAAAAGCUAAGGAUAAGGUAGUGAAGGCCUAACAAUGCCUGACCCCUAUAAAAGGGAGCCUUAGUUGUAUCUGAGCUUCCUACUUUACAAAGCCACCAUCUUUGAUACUAAACAAACAGGUGGCUGCAGUCUGUGGGCAAAGGCAUCCAUGGAAGCCACCUUCUUCAUUUUAGUAGCUAUGCUUACAUCCAUGAACUGAGGAAACGCUGCAAGGAAAUGGAGAGGAAGAAGACAGAUGGUGGUGUGGCCACAGAGGAGAAGAGCUCCAAGGGAAGAGUUCAUCCUAGUGACACCCCUUCACCAGUGUGUCGUGAAGAACGAGGUGAAGGUAAUUGUUGGAGAAGCUCGGUCACCAAAUAAAUCCCCAAAAAAGAAAGAUGAUGAAUUAUUGGGUGUUGAUGGGGGGCUUGUUUUACAUUUAGACAAUGCUAUGUCCACAUAUAUAUAUUUUGCCUUCCAAUGUUCCAAGUCUCUUUAGUAGGGAAAUGUGGGAGGAAUAAUCAUCCAAUUGUUUUCUUUUUCUCUACCUAGAUACGACAGAAAUAGAUGUUGCUUUCAUUAUUAACAUAGUCAGGUUCAUAGCCAUAUGGAAGUUUUUUU
Non-coding RNA from Musa acuminata subsp. malaccensis (wild Malaysian banana), 911 nucleotides. The record is from RefSeq and is a predicted model, not a curated record. Lineage: Eukaryota; Viridiplantae; Streptophyta; Magnoliopsida; Zingiberales; Musaceae.